This 621-nucleotide long non-coding RNA is filed under the name Homo sapiens (human). Its description in RNAcentral is "tetratricopeptide repeat domain 5 (ENSG00000291781.1)". The record is from RNAcentral. Lineage: Eukaryota; Metazoa; Chordata; Mammalia; Primates; Hominidae.
GGGUAAGUGUAUCUAUGGCAUACCCAAGCAUAUUUGUGUAACCUCUUUUUUGGGGGUUGGGGGAACAGGGUCUCGCUCUGUUAUUCAGGUUAGAGUUCAGUGGAAUGAUCAUAGCUCACUGCACCCAUAAACUCGUGGUCUUAAGCAAUCCUCCUACCUCAGUCUCCCACAUAGCUGGGACAUUAGCCACCAAGCCUGGCUAAUUUAAAAAAAAUUCUUAGUAGAGCCACUGUGCCUGGCCUGUAACCUUUGUUUUGACAAAUGGAUAGUAUUAAAGGAAAUUUUCUUGAUACGCAGUUUAGUCUGUUCUUGGACAAGCAAUGCAGUAGGUUUGACUUUGAGUGCUUUAUUACUAACACUUUCUGGCCAGGCCACAGUUAAGGUCCGGUUGGAAAACACUUGUUGAGGUUUGAAUUGUAACCUUUUUACUGGAUGAUAGGGUAUUUUUUAGCCCAUAGAUAAACUUGCUUAAAAAACCAAGAAAGACACUGAAAUCUCAGUCUAUACAUAGUUUCAUCAGUGUUUAUUGGGAACUGUGUUCUGGAUAAAGCAAUCGUAUGUAUACAUUUUUAUUAUGUAAUGUAUAAGUGAUUUGUAAAUUAUAAAGAUCUCCUACGAUAC